GAUGAACGCUAGCGGCAGGCUUAACACAUGCAAGUCGAGGGGCAGCGAGGGUAGCAAUACCUGUCGGCGACCGGCGGAAGGGUGAGUAACGCGUGAGCAACAUACCCGUAUCAGUGGGAUAAUACAGGGAAACUUGUUCUAAUAUCGCAUAAUAUUAUUCAGAGGCAUCUUUGGAUAAUUAAAGUUACGGCGGAUACGGAAUGGCUCGCGUGACAUUAGCUAGAUGGUAGGGUAAUGGCCUACCAUGGCGAUGAUGUCUAGGGGUUCUGAGAGGGAGGUCCCCCACACUGGAACUGAGACACGGUCCAGACUCCUACGGGAGGCAGCAGUGAGGAAUAUUGGACAAUGGAUGGAAAUCUGAUCCAGCCAUGCCGCGUGCAGGAAGGCGGCCCUAUGGGUUGUAAACUGCUUUUGUACGGGAGCAAUAAGGUUUACGAGUAGAUUGAUGAGAGUACUGUACGAAUAAGCAUCGGCUAACU
RNAcentral lists this ribosomal RNA (479 nucleotides) under uncultured bacterium. RNAcentral's name for it is "bacterial SSU rRNA". It matches the Rfam family "Bacterial small subunit ribosomal RNA", at positions 28 to 502 of the family's 1533-position model. The record is from RNAcentral.